GUCCCGUAAGGGACUAUGGAUGUAGACGGGCUUGUGAAGCUGGAUCGGACGGGGGUGCGAUUCCCCCCACCUCCACCA
RNAcentral lists this non-coding RNA (78 nucleotides) under Cereibacter sphaeroides ATCC 17025. The record is from RNAcentral. Lineage: Bacteria; Pseudomonadati; Pseudomonadota; Alphaproteobacteria; Rhodobacterales; Paracoccaceae.